AACCCCGCUUGGAAAGGUGUAACCGCACCACCAAUAGCGAACCUUGGACACGACAUGGUAACAUGUUGUGUCAAGCGUAGGAAGUUAGGCGAUAGGGUCAUAAGGCAGUUUAGCCCCGAAAUCAUACAUAACUGAUGUGCCGACACUGUUUACUUGGUGGAAGGCAAAACGGACAGAAUUCGCUAAGGUGAGAAUCUGUCUGGCAUCACGGGG
Molecule: non-coding RNA, 213 nt
Filed under: uncultured Mediterraneibacter sp.
Lineage: Bacteria; Bacillati; Bacillota; Clostridia; Lachnospirales; Lachnospiraceae
Source: RNAcentral